This 21-nucleotide non-coding RNA is filed under the name Caenorhabditis elegans. The record is from RNAcentral. Lineage: Eukaryota; Metazoa; Nematoda; Chromadorea; Rhabditida; Rhabditidae.
UGCAAUUUGUUUCUACCGUGA